UGGGGAAUAUUGCGCAAUGGGCGGAAGCCUGACGCAGCGACGCCGCGUGAGGGAUGACGGCCUUCGGGUUGUAAACCUCUUUCAGCAGGGACGAAUUUGACGGUACCUGUAGAAGAAGCACCGGCCAACUACGUGCCAGCAGCCGCGGUAAUACGUAGGGUGCGAGCGUUGUCCGGAAUUAUUGGGCGUAAAGAGCUCGUAGGCGGUCUGUCGCGUCGAAUGUGAAAACCCGGGGCUCAACUCCGGGCUUGCAUUCGAUACGGGCAGGCUAGAGUUCGGUAGGGGAGUCUGGAAUUCCUGGUGUAGCGGUGAAAUGCGCAGAUAUCAGGAGGAACACCGGUGGCGAAGGCGGGACUCUGGGCCGAUACUGACGCUGAGGAGCGAAAGCGUGGGGAGCGAACA
RNAcentral lists this ribosomal RNA (402 nucleotides) under uncultured bacterium. RNAcentral describes it as "bacterial SSU rRNA". It matches the Rfam family "Bacterial small subunit ribosomal RNA", at positions 355 to 774 of the family's 1533-position model. The record is from RNAcentral.